AUAAACGACUCUCGGCAACGGAUAUCUUGGCUCACGCAUCGAUGAAGAACGUAGCAAAAUGCGAUACUUGGUGUGAAUUGCAGAAUCCCGUGAACCAUCGAGUUUUUGAACGCAAGUUGCGCCCGAAGCCUUUUGGCUGAGGGCACGUCUGCCUGGGCGUCACAC
Molecule: ribosomal RNA, 165 nt
Filed under: Lasiocephalus sp. G13A
Lineage: Eukaryota; Viridiplantae; Streptophyta; Magnoliopsida; Asterales; Asteraceae
Description: 5.8S ribosomal RNA
Rfam family: 5.8S ribosomal RNA
About the family: 5.8S ribosomal RNA (5.8S rRNA) is a component of the large subunit of the eukaryotic ribosome. It is transcribed by RNA polymerase I as part of the 45S precursor that also contains 18S and 28S rRNA. Functionally, it is thought that 5.8S rRNA may be involved in ribosome translocation.
Source: RNAcentral